RNAcentral lists this ribosomal RNA (315 nucleotides) under uncultured fungus. RNAcentral describes it as "LSU rRNA". It matches the Rfam family "Eukaryotic large subunit ribosomal RNA", at positions 320 to 654 of the family's 3401-position model. The record is from RNAcentral. Lineage: Eukaryota; Fungi.
AUACCGGCCAGAGACCGAUAGCGCACAAGUAGAGUGAUCGAAAGAUGAAAAGCACUUUGAAAAGAGGGUUAAAAAGUACGUGAAAUUGUUGAAAGGGAAGCAUUUAUGACCAGACUUGGGCUUGGUUGAACAUCCGGCGUUCUCGCCGGUGCAAUCUGCCAGUCCAGGCCAGCAUCAGUUUGCCCCGGGGGACAAAGGUGGCGGGAAUGUAGCACCCUCCGGGGUGUGUUAUAGCCCGUCGCGUAAUGCCCUGGGGCGGACUGAGGAACGCGCUUCGGCUCGGAUGCUGGCGUAAUGGUCAUCAAUGACCCGUCU